GACGAACGCUGGCGGCGUGCUUAACACAUGCAAGUCGAACGGUAAGGCCCUUCGGGGUACACGAGUGGCGAACGGGUGAGUAACACGUGGGUGAUCUGCCCUGCACUUCGGGAUAAGCCUGGGAAACUGGGUCUAAUACCGGAUAGGACCACUGCCUGCAUGGGUGGUGGUGGAAAGCUUUUGCGGUGUGGGAUGGGCCCGCGGCCUAUCAGCUUGUUGGUGGGGUGAUGGCCUACCAAGGCGACGACGGGUAGCCGGCCGGAGAGGGUGACCGGCGACACUGGGACUGAGAUACGGCCCAGACUCCUACGGGAGGCAGCAGUGGGGAAUAUUGCACAAUGGGCGCAAGCCUGAUGCAGCGACGCCGCGUGAGGGAUGACGGCCUUCGGGUUGUAAACCUCUUUCAGCACCGACGAAGCGCAAGUGACGGUAGGUGCAGAAGAAGGACCGGCCAACUACGUGCCAGCCGCCGCAGUAA
This 478-nucleotide ribosomal RNA is filed under the name uncultured bacterium. Its description in RNAcentral is "partial 16S ribosomal RNA". It matches the Rfam family "Bacterial small subunit ribosomal RNA", at positions 28 to 523 of the family's 1533-position model. The record is from RNAcentral.